AAAAAGAUAAGCUAAAUAAAGCUAGUGGGUUCAUACCUCAUUUAUAAAGGUAUGACUCCUUUUCUUUUUA
This 70-nucleotide transfer RNA is filed under the name Scolytinae sp. BMNH 1043104. Its description in RNAcentral is "tRNA-Met". It matches the Rfam family "tRNA". Rfam says of the family: Transfer RNA (tRNA) molecules are approximately 80 nucleotides in length. Lineage: Eukaryota; Metazoa; Arthropoda; Insecta; Coleoptera; Curculionidae. The record is from RNAcentral.